Long non-coding RNA from Gossypium raimondii (Peruvian cotton), 423 nucleotides. RefSeq lists it as uncharacterized. The transcript is spliced from 3 exons. The record is from RefSeq and is a predicted model, not a curated record. Lineage: Eukaryota; Viridiplantae; Streptophyta; Magnoliopsida; Malvales; Malvaceae.
AAACAUUAAAGAGGCCAUUAUCACCUAUUCUUGGCCGAAACUAAAAGAGAAAGAAAAUAAGAAACAAGCUAGGUAUUCGACACUUUCAAGUCUUGAUUAAGAUCAAGAACUGAAGAAAACAGAAUUAGAUCGAGGGAAGUCGAAAGUAGUCGAGUAGUUGAUUUCGUUCGUCGAUAUCCGAGAUUUAGAAGUCACGAUACGAGCUCGGGGAUCAUCAGCAAAGUCUAUCACACUAUCGACAUCUUUUGGGUAUUUUGAUAAAAAAAUUUGAACUUGAUAUUAUGGCAUGUAUAGGCUUGCUUAUUUUUUUGGUUAGUUUUGGAACAUGUAUAUAAAUGGCCAUGUGAAAAUGGCUCAUAUUCUGUUGAUCAAAUUUGGUGUUUAUGUAUAUGGUCUUUAUGGUCAUUGAAAUGGAGUUUAUAA